CACGUAGGGUGCGAGCGUUGUCCGGAAUUAUUGGGCGUAAAGAGCUCGUAGGCGGUGUGUCGCGUCGGCCGUGAAAACCUGCAGCUUAACUGUGGGCUUGCGGUCGAUACGGGCAGGCUGGAGUUCGGUAGGGGAGACUGGAAUUCCUGGUGUAGCGGUGAAAUGCGCAGAUAUCAGGAGGAACACCGGUGGCGAAGGCGGGUCUCUGGGCCGAUACUGACGCUGAGGAGCGAAAGCGUGGGGAGCGAACAGG
This 253-nucleotide ribosomal RNA is filed under the name uncultured bacterium. RNAcentral's name for it is "partial 16S ribosomal RNA". It matches the Rfam family "Bacterial small subunit ribosomal RNA", at positions 524 to 776 of the family's 1533-position model. The record is from RNAcentral.